AUGAGAGCGCAUUCGAUGGGCGGGGAUGGGAGGGCUGGAAAUUGACAGGGUGAGAACUGGGGAGACUAAUCCCUCCCACCCGGUCCCCGCUCGUCACUCACCCCCUAGUUGAGGGCCUGGGCCUUUGCAUAAUGUCGACGCGCCUGGAGAGGAGGGUGCUUCCCAACGGCUCCCGUUCGACCCCCAACCCCGGGCCAAGGGCACGGAGAGAGGCUGAGGACGAGCAGGAGAGAGAGCAUGCCAUAUGACAGGCUUCUGGAAACAGAUCCCAUGCCAACUUGGAUUCUGUCCUUCUCUCCAAUAAAAGGAACUUUUCGCUUGUG
This is a long non-coding RNA of Hyaena hyaena (striped hyena), 323 nucleotides long. RefSeq lists it as uncharacterized. The record is from RefSeq and is a predicted model, not a curated record. Lineage: Eukaryota; Metazoa; Chordata; Mammalia; Carnivora; Hyaenidae. The transcript is spliced from 2 exons.